UCCCAUGCAGCUCCGCAGUAAUGCACUCUGCGGCACUCGACUCAAGUCAGGCAACCAGCUCUUCUGGUCUUUUCGCUGACCACUGUGGUCCAGGUCAACACUCCUUUCGAACUUGCAAGGUUAUCAAGGAUUUUACGUGAAGACAUUUAGUACAGAACAUUUUACAUGACUAGUAAAAGAAUAACGUAAUUGGU
Ixodes scapularis (black-legged tick) is the source of this 194-nucleotide long non-coding RNA. RefSeq lists it as uncharacterized. NCBI's taxonomy places the organism in Eukaryota, Metazoa, Arthropoda, Arachnida, Ixodida, Ixodidae. The record is from RefSeq and is a predicted model, not a curated record. The transcript has 3 exons.